UCAGCGAUUUGGAUCUGAGUGAAGUCAUCGGUUGGCUGGCUGCCGGGGCGGCAUGCUACUUGGCGUCGUGGUCUCGAUGUUGUGGUGGUCGCCGGGUAGUUGGGGCGGCGUGGUGUGCGGCGUCUGCCUAGGUCUUGGGCGGCGUCAUGCGGGGUCGUUGCGGCGGAGCUGUGGCGAGUGAUUGUGGCGGUUCUCAAGUGUGUGUCCGUGCUUGUGCUGCUACGUGAACACGUUGCUUGCCGUUUGGAUUGAAUUUUGGUUGGGUGUGAGUGCACGGGUUGAGGUGAGCAACCCCAGAUCUGACUCUAUCUCUGUUCCAAAUUUCCAAUCUACAUACUACGUUUCACUUUGCCAUGCUCUUCCUAAAUUGUCUUCUCUUCCCAAAUCGCUAGUUUGGCCUGAGGAUUAUUUUCUGGUUCGCAAAAAAAAAAGAGGUUGAGCAAUCUGCCAGAAUAGGUUUACGUAGAGCUCCUGAGUCCUGUGCUUUGAUGAACUCUCCUCCUCUUUUUUUAUCUGUAAUUGUAGUUCAAGAGUGUUUUCUCUCAAUCAUUAUAACUUGUUAUUUUGAGAAGUGACUCUGUUCUGGAGAUAACUUCACAUAAUUCUGUUGCUUUCUAGUCAAUUGAAAAAACAUGAUGUUCAAUGUUCCUCUUGAGAUCAUUGCAAUAGCUAGGAGUUCUGAUGCGAUGUUUCCUUUUGUUUCUUAGGUUCCUUUUACUAUUUUUCUAUUUGAUCGUUGUUACUUGGUGCGUGUGUUGGGUGUCUUUCCUAGGUUAUUAGUUGUGUUUUGCUACGUGGGGAUUUUUGCAGCUUCGAUGCACUUGGUAUGUUAUCUUCAGGAGUUCCUUUAAGAACCGGUACCCAGUGAACUAUCUUUGCUUCUUAUGACACAAGGCUUGAGCCUCUUUUGUCGAAAGAUGUUAUUUAGACUUUACUGUGUAAGCUUACCUAUGUUUUCAUUCUUGCAUUUAAGACUCUGUAACUCCAUUAAGACUCCAUUUUCUUAGGAACGAUGUCGUUAUGAUGCUUCCAAAUGCACCAGCAAAAGAGCAUGAAGAACGUUGACCGCGGGUGAGCGACAUCUAGCAGAUUGCGGACAGAGGCCACUACUGAAGGUGGCUGGAACCACAACGUGGCCCCGAAAUCAACCAAUAACGGGCAGACAAAGAAGAGGUGACUCGCCAAUAACAGUGUGGCGGACUGGGUAGGCAACUAUUACACGUUCUAAAAUUGAGGUUUAGAGCAAUGAAAAAGGUGAUUUUGUUCCUGAAUCGUGCUUAACAUUUAUUUAGCAAUCAAGCACUAGCAGCCCGGUUUGAGAUGUGCUUCUUGUUGGUUCAUGUAGACAUGCCAACAAAGGCCUGAUAAAGAAAAAUAGAAAAAAAAUACAGUAGAUUGGUUUGAUUGUUCUCUUGUGUAGACCAAAAUUUGCGAGCAAAAGAAAUUGGAUUUUGGUUCCAACUGUUCAAUAGCUCUAAAAGGCAUAGAGUCAACCAGUCAGGCUUUGACCAGAUGUCGAACGUCUUCAGAACCUUGAUU
Molecule: long non-coding RNA, 1539 nt
Filed under: Triticum aestivum (bread wheat)
Lineage: Eukaryota; Viridiplantae; Streptophyta; Magnoliopsida; Poales; Poaceae
Description: long non-coding RNA (TAES_LNC009555)
Source: RNAcentral